Molecule: non-coding RNA, 200 nt
Filed under: unclassified sequences
Description: manA RNA
Rfam family: manA RNA
About the family: manA RNA has been located in 5'UTR regions of genes of mannose or fructose metabolism.
Source: RNAcentral
GUGGGUAAGGGUAAUACCGAACUCCCACUUUAUGACCGAAUAAACUAAACUCAGAGAGUUAAGGUAAUGGCACAGAGGUUGUACUCACUUUGACGAUGACUAACCAUCAUUGAGGAGAACUUUCGUAACUGAAAGGUGUUAGGUACAAGGGAGAAAAAAUCUGAGCUUGAAGUUGUAGGUAAUCGUUAAUCCUACAUCCC